Long non-coding RNA from Magnolia sinica, 617 nucleotides. RefSeq lists it as uncharacterized. The record is from RefSeq and is a predicted model, not a curated record. The transcript has 2 exons. Lineage: Eukaryota; Viridiplantae; Streptophyta; Magnoliopsida; Magnoliales; Magnoliaceae.
GAUCCCUGUAUUUGAGCAUAGAGAUAGAGUCAUGUAUAUUGAGAUGCAUGUGUGCUAUUAGAUGCAUCUCUAGCCUUGAUCGAAGAGAUGAUCAAGAUGAGAUCUCCACAAGAUUGACAUGACUUUCAUAUAUGGCGAUAGCCUAUAUAAUUAGCUAUCUUUUGAUUGAUUGACGGUGAUAAUCAUGUGACCAACAAUCAUUGAUGCAUCACAAAAUGUGCUCAUAUCAUACAUGCUAGGACUGUUAACCUAAAAAUGCUGUGAUUGAUCUUGAUUCUCAUUGCUAUGCGAGGUGGCCACUGCAGUGGGUGACUACAGUGCCCUUAAUACUCUUCACUGUGUGACAAAGCUAAGAUAAGGGUAAUGCCAUGAAGAUGUGCAAUGAUUACAUAUUCCCUUCCCUAUCUCAUUUGUUGGCUUAAAAUUCAGUUGUUGAUACAUGUGUGCAAUGCUGGGCAUGCCAGAGCUUGAUACGAGUCGCUUUGAACUGAAUGCCUUUGACCUUAAGCAUCGACAUAGACUAAGAGAUCGAGAUCUUAACUAUUCGAUCGUUUAUUUAGCCACUCGUAAUAUAAACUAGGCGAUUUGCAAAAAGGAGGGUUCAUCAUUCUAAUGAA